UGAGAGCCAUGUCUCUGAAAGGACUUUUUUUUUUCUUUCCAGCUCUGUGUAUGAAAAUAGCAUCUUCAAAGUCACAGAAGAAACAGCCAAAAGUGAAUCCACAUUAAAUUCCGGUAGAAAUUUGGCACCCAGCAAACUCCUGGUGACUUUUAAGGAUGCUCUUUUGGGCAACUUCAAGAUGAAGAAAACAAAGACUUCCUGGCAGCUUGCUUUCUGACUCCCACUUACUGAGAUCCUAUUCUGGAAACCACUGCAUUCAAACGGAAUAAGUUACAAGAAUACUUUGUACUUUGACUUCCUUAGAAAUUUUUGCUUUGUGAAUCUUCAAAAUGAUCCUUGUGGCAUGAAUUAUGAAGACAGAAAGGGCUGCUGGGAUCGCCUAAUCAGAUUUCUUAUAGCAAAGAAACGCAAACAUCCUUACCAUCAAGAAGGCUAGGCGGGGCAGUACUGAAGGUAGGUUGUUUUUAAUCUCUGUACUGCCUGUAUGCUUAUGUUCACAUGUGCCUAUUUUGCCCUCUGGUUCAGAAAAAGUUGCUGUUUUUUUCGGAUGGAAUAGCUUUUGGGGAUAAGGAGAGAAGAAUCCAAG
RNAcentral lists this long non-coding RNA (586 nucleotides) under Phasianus colchicus (ring-necked pheasant). RNAcentral's name for it is "lncRNA (ENSPCLG00000001407.1)". The record is from RNAcentral. Lineage: Eukaryota; Metazoa; Chordata; Aves; Galliformes; Phasianidae.